Molecule: ribosomal RNA, 497 nt
Filed under: uncultured bacterium
Lineage: Bacteria
Description: partial 16S ribosomal RNA
Rfam family: Bacterial small subunit ribosomal RNA
Source: RNAcentral
GAUGAACGCUGGCGGCGUGCCUAAUACAUGCAAGUCGAGCGAACAGACGAGGAGCUUGCUCCUCUGACGUUAGCGGCGGACGGGUGAGUAACACGUGGAUAACCUACCUAUAAGACUGGGAUAACUUCGGGAAACCGGAGCUAAUACCGGAUAAUAUAUUGAACCGCAUGGUUCAAUAGUGAAAGACGGUUUUGCUGUCACUUAUAGAUGGAUCCGCGCCGCAUUAGCUAGUUGGUAAGGUAACGGCUUACCAAGGCAACGAUGCGUAGCCGACCUGAGAGGGUGAUCGGCCACACUGGAACUGAGACACGGUCCAGACUCCUACGGGAGGCAGCAGUAGGGAAUCUUCCGCAAUGGGCGAAAGCCUGACGGAGCAACGCCGCGUGAAUGAUGAAGGUCUUCGGAUCGUAAAACUCUGUUAUUAGGGAAGAACAAAUGUGUAAGUAACUAUGCACGUCUUGACGGUACCUAAUCAGAAAGCCACGGCUAACUACGUG